This 57-nucleotide transfer RNA is filed under the name Rachovia pyropunctata. RNAcentral describes it as "tRNA-Trp". The record is from RNAcentral. Lineage: Eukaryota; Metazoa; Chordata; Actinopteri; Cyprinodontiformes; Rivulidae.
AGGAAUUUAAGUUAAUGUACCUUAAACCUAGAACCUUCAAAGUUCUCAAUGAAAGUG